GCGCUGGUGGGAUACCGCCCUGACUGUAUUGAAAUUCUAACCUACGGGUCUUAUCGACCCGGGAGACAGUGUCAGGUGGGCAGUUUGACUGGGGCGGUCGCCUCCUAAAGUGUAACGGAGGCGCCCAAAGGUUCCCUCAGAAUGGUUGGAAAUCAUUCGUAGAGUGCAAAGGCAUAAGGGAGCUUGACUGCGAGACCUACAAGUCGAGCAGGGACGAAAGUCGGGCUUAGUGAUCCGGUGGUUCCGCAUGGAAGGGCCAUCGCUCAACGGAUAAAAGCUACCCCGGGGAUAACAGGCUUAUCUCCCCCAAGAGUCCACAUCGACGGGGAGGUUUGGCACCUCGAUGUCGGCUCAUCGCAUCCUGGGGCUGUAGUCGGUCCCAAGGGUUGGGCUGUUCGCCCAUUAAAGCGGUACGCGAGCUGGGUUCAGAACGUCGUGAGACAGUUCGGUCCCUAUCCGUCGUGGGCGUAGGAAAUUUGAGAGGAGCUGUCCUUAGUACGAGAGGACCGGGAUGGACGCACCGCUGGUGUACCAGUUGUUCUGCCAAGGGCAUAGCUGGGUAGCUAUGUGCGGAAGGGAUAAGUGCUGAAAGCAUCUAAGCAUGAAGCCCCCCUCAAGAUGAGAUUUCCCAUAGCGUAAGCUAGUAAGAUCCCUGAAAGAUGAUCAGGUUGAUAGGUUCGAGGUGGAAGCAUGGUGACAUGUGGAGCUGACGAAUACUAAUAGAUCGAGGACUUA
Molecule: ribosomal RNA, 735 nt
Filed under: Bacillus cereus
Lineage: Bacteria; Bacillati; Bacillota; Bacilli; Caryophanales; Bacillaceae
Description: partial 23S ribosomal RNA
Rfam family: Bacterial large subunit ribosomal RNA
Source: RNAcentral